Molecule: long non-coding RNA, 1652 nt
Organism: Pezoporus occidentalis (night parrot)
Lineage: Eukaryota; Metazoa; Chordata; Aves; Psittaciformes; Psittacidae
Exons: 3
Source: RefSeq, a predicted model, not a curated record
GUUGGGAGUGUAGUGUGCGCCCGCCGCUGCUUGGGCAACGUUCGGCAGCCUGUGUUCAAAGUGCUCUGCAAACAUCUCAUCCUUCUGAUAAGUACAUGCUAGAGCAGGAGGUGGAUGAGGGGUGGUUUAUGGCUUGUGCUGACGAUCUUGAUUGGAGUUGCUUGCUGCUAACAGCUCCUGCCUGGGCACCUCCCUGCACCUGGAUCCCUAAAUUAGGCAGGAGCAAGCAGUCACAGCCCUGUUAGAGCUGGCAAACUUUUCUCAUUGUUGAAUCUACUGGAGAAUAAAGCCCUCGCUGAUCUUUUUGCCCUGCAAAUAAAUUGGAUGGAUCAAGACCACUAUGAGAAAUGUCCCAUCCUCAUCCAGAGAGGGUUUUUCAGCAUUAAAAGCUUUAUAUGACUCAUAAACUAACAUUUAUUUCUGCAUGUGAGAGGAAGAAAUACAACACACUUCUAUGCAGCACUGCCAGGGCAGGCAGGAAAGAGAGACAUAAUUUAACUCCAGAUAAAUCAUGAUUUCACAGUGAUCUGCCUGCAGUUGAGAGUCCCAUCUCCUUGACACUGUAACAAUACUUGUCACUCAGCGUCCCAAAGAGACCUGCUUGCAGCCAGAGAUCAUAGAUGACUGGGAAGAUGCCUGGAGUUGUAAACACCAUCAAUCUGGAGAAAACAAAUGCGCCUGGGAGUUGAUGUCAGCUGAGGUUGUUCGAAGAUGGAGAUUGCCUCUGCAAAGCAUGGGAUGUGCCCAUAGGCUGUGUGGGUCCCUAGCCUUGGACAUCCGCUGGGUCUGUUGCCACCUGAAGCUCCAGCAAACCCAGGGAGGCAAAGCGCUGCUACUCCUAUUCCCCAAGGGGGCUUGGGUCCUCAGGUUUUGCAGGCUGGUAACCCCCGCCAUGCAGCCCACAGCACCUCUCAGGGUAGUGGACCCAGGCAGGAUAGAGAGCAGAGGCCUUUGCUUUCUACCACUUUUGGUACCUCUGUGCCUUUCCUGGCUUUGGCAGACUCGUGUCUGAUUUACAGCUUGUGUCCCCUGCUCGCCUGCUCCCAGCUAGGACUCUUCUGCUCUUCUCCCUGGCAGCUCCCAACACUCUUCCCUGGGUCCCUGCCCAUCCUUGAGGAUGUGUCCGCACCCAAGCUUAAACUCGGUGCUAUCAUGCACAGGCAGUUUCUUUUUCUGUCUGCCUCUUUCUUUCUUUUUCUUUUUCUUUUUCUCUUUCUUGUUUUCUUUUUUUAAAGAGGAAACUGAAUCCAAGGCUACCGUGUGAUGAUGAUGAUGUUAUUGUUAGUUGUUAUUUCUAUUUUCAUAGCUCCAAGAGGCAGAGAACAGAGUCCCACUGGGUUAAAUGCAGCACAUGCUAUAACAAAAAGACAGUCUGGGUGCCAAACAACUUGCAAGCUUCUUGCUAAUGUAAGGAAUGUAAAAUUGAGAUUACUAUAGCAACAUCUUGCUCACAUCGCAUACAGAUAGGAUUUGUUGGUCUUUGUGUGUGUGUGUGUGUGUGUAUACCUAUGAAACAUACAUAUACAAACCCUAAAUAUCUCUGGCAACUUUUUCCAUGGUUGAAUUUAUAUUUAAUUUCAAGCUCUCUGUGUCUCAGAUUGGUUUUGCUCCUUAAGAUUUGCAUCCAGUUUUCCUUCAUCAAGUCUUGCCUU